AAGUCGUAACAAGGUUUCCGUAGGUGAACCUGCGGAAGGAUCAUUAUUGAAUUUAAUGUAGAGUUGGUUGUAGCUGGCCUAUGAAUUAAUUUUCUGUGGCAUGUGCACACCUUCUCUUUCAUCCACACACACACACCUGUGAACUUGUGAGACAGUAAGUUUGGGGACUUUAUUGAACCCGCUUUCUGUCUACUUAAUUUAUAUAAAAUCAAUCUAUUUUAAAACGAAUGUAAUGGAUGUAACGCAUCUAAUACUAAGUUUCAACAACGGAUCUCUUGGCUCUC
Molecule: unclassified non-coding RNA, 284 nt
Filed under: fungal sp.
Lineage: Eukaryota; Fungi
Description: partial internal transcribed spacer region
Rfam family: Eukaryotic small subunit ribosomal RNA (bases 1-46)
Source: RNAcentral